This 240-nucleotide ribosomal RNA is filed under the name uncultured bacterium. RNAcentral's name for it is "partial 16S ribosomal RNA". It matches the Rfam family "Bacterial small subunit ribosomal RNA", at positions 796 to 1041 of the family's 1533-position model. The record is from RNAcentral.
CACGCUGUAAACGAUGAUAACUCGCUGUUGGCGAUAUACUGUCAGCGGCCAAGCGAAAGCGUUAAGUUAUCCACCUGGGGAGUACGAUCGCAAGGUUGAAACUCAAAGGAAUUGACGGGGGCCCGCACAAGCGGUGGAGCAUGUGGUUUAAUUCGAUGAUACGCGAGGAACCUUACCUGGGCUUGAACGCAUUUUGACAGACUGGGAAACCAGUUCUUCUUCGGACAAUUUGCGAGGUGC